GAUGAAGAACGUAGCGAAAUGCGAUAAGUAAUGUGAAUUGCAGAAUUCAGUGAAUCAUCGAAUCUUUGAACGCACAUUGCGCCCGCCAGCACUCUGGCGGGCAUGCCUGUUCGAGCGUCAUUUCAACCAUCAAGCCCCAGGCUUGCGUUGGAGCCCUGCGGCUGCCGCAGCCUCCUAAAAGCAGUGGCGGGCUCGCUAUCACACCGAGUGCAGUAGAUUACUCUUCGCUCAGGGCGUGCAGCGGGUUCCGGCCGUGAAACCCCCUACUUUUAAAGGUUGAUCUCGGAUCAGGUAGGAAUACCCGCUGAACUUAAGCAUAUCAAUAAGCGGAGGA
This 334-nucleotide unclassified non-coding RNA is filed under the name soil metagenome. RNAcentral's name for it is "partial contains 5.8S ribosomal RNA, internal transcribed spacer 2, and large subunit ribosomal RNA". The stretch from base 1 to 120 matches the Rfam family "5.8S ribosomal RNA", at positions 35 to 154 of the family's 154-position model. The record is from RNAcentral.